RNAcentral lists this non-coding RNA (131 nucleotides) under human gut metagenome. Its description in RNAcentral is "FMN riboswitch (RFN element)". It matches the Rfam family "FMN riboswitch aptamer (RFN element)". Rfam says of the family: The RFN element is a highly conserved domain that is found frequently in the 5'-untranslated regions of prokaryotic mRNAs that encode for flavin mononucleotide (FMN) biosynthesis and transport proteins. This element is a metabolite-dependent riboswitch that directly binds FMN in the absence of proteins. In Bacillus subtilis, the riboswitch most likely controls gene expression by causing premature transcription termination within the 5' untranslated region of the ribDEAHT operon and precluding access to the ribosome-binding site of ypaA mRNA. The record is from RNAcentral. RNAcentral also lists the same sequence under 1 other name.
CUUUGGGGCAGGGUGAAAUUCCCUACCGGCGGUGAAGCGGCUUCGGCCGACAAGCCCGCGAACGCUCGAUGUUUCGAUGCGCCGAGUCGGUUUGAAUCCGACGCCGACGGUCAAAGUCCGGACGGAAAAAG